AAAACCUUCCCAUGGCUUCAAUUGUUAAUCAUGAGAAUGAGAACAAGAAUGUCAAGUCCCUUCAUGUUGUAAUGGUACCAUGGCUAGCUAUGGGACACAUACUACCUUUUUUCGAGUUAGCCAAAAUUCUUGCUCAAAAUGGUCACACUGUCACAUUCAUAAACUCCCCUAAAAACAUUGAUCAAAUGCCCAAAACACCCAAAACACUUCAACCAUUCAUCAAGUUGGUAAAAUCACCUUUACCAUACAUAGAAGAACUACAAGGUGCAGAAAGCACUCAAAAUGUUCCGUUAAACCUAACUGGUUACCUUAAGUUAGCUUAUGAUGGUUUCCAAGACCGUGUUACUGAGAUAUUCAAAACUUCGAAGCCUGAUUGGGUUUUCUGUGAUUUAGUAUCGGAUUGGUUACCAUCGAUAGCCAAGAGUUUCAACAUUCCUUGUGCGUAUUACAGCAUAGGCGCAGCUCGGAACUUGGUUUUCUUUAAUCCACCAGGGGAACGAACCGACAUAGACUUGUAUAGUCCACCAAAAUGGGUUCCUUUCCAAACAACCAUUCAUCUCAAACGUUACGAGGUUAUGAGAAUACAGUCAGCUGUGAAGAAUGAUUAUGGAAGAAAAUUUAGUCGUUCUGAUGCCGACAAACUAUACGCAAGUGUUGACCUUUUUCUUUUCAGAACCUCUAGAGAACUUGAAGGUGAAUGGUUAGAUUAUAUUUCUGACCAAUACAAGGUUCCUGUGGUUCCGGUCGGAUUGCUUCCACCACCUAUGCAGAUAAGAGAUGACGAAGAAGAUGAAAAGAAUCCUGAAUGGGUGAAAAUCAAGGCAUGGUUGGAUUCAAAAGAAUCAUCUUCUAUUGUUUACAUUGGAUUUGGGAGCGAGUCGAAGUUAAGUCAACAAGAUAUAACUGAGUUAGCUCAUGGAAUUGAGCUUUCUAGGUUACCGUUCUUUUGGGCUUUAAAAGAUCUUAAAGAGGGUGUACUUGAAUUGCCUAAAGGGUUCGAGGAAAGAACAAAAGAACGCGGAAUUGUUUGGAAAACUUGGGUACCCCAGUUUAAGAUCUUAACUCAUGGAUCAAUUGGUGGUUGUAUGACUCAUUGUGGUCCAAGUUCAGUCUUUGAAAUGCUUUAUCUUGGGCAUGUUCUUGUGACAUUGCCUUAUUUACUUGACCAAUGUUUGUUUGCAAGAGUACUAGAAGAAAAGAAAGUGGCUGUUGAGGUACCAAGGAGUGAGCCAGAUGGGGCCAUUAAUAGGGACUGUGUUGCUAAAACAUUGAGGUUGGUAAUAGUGGAUGAGGAAGGAAGUAUUUACAGGAACAAUGCCAAAGAAAUGGGAAAGGUUGUGAGUUCAAAAGAUCUUCACAAUGAAUACAUUAAAAACUUCAUUGCCACUCUUCAAAAGUUUAGAGUUCAUUCCGACAAUUAAGCAUAUUUCAUAUACUCCCUUCGGUCAUUAUUAUAAACAAAACUUCACUUUUCAGAUACAUUGAAUAAUUCAUGUAUCUAGUCUUUAUUAUAGACCGGACAGAUUGAUUAUUCAAUGUAUCUAAAAAGUAAAGUUUUAUUUAUAAUAGUGAUGAGAGGGAGUAUAGGUUUCCCUUUCAACUGUUUUUUAUUUUAUUUAUUUUAUUUUUAUCUUAUUGCAAUAAUAAUCAUGUGAUGUUGAUGCCAGUGAUUCAUUGACAAGAGUUUGCCUUUGUAAUUUCAUGUGAUAAAGUUCAAAUAUAUUCUUGUUACAUGUCUCUUUCCCAUUGUUAUUAAAAGUCCAAGAGAUAAAUACUAAAUUAUUCAUUUCAGUUCAAAUGAAGUUUAUGUAUUUGGUUCAAAUUUUAGACCAAUUAACACAUCAAGUAAUAAUGGAAUAAGCUGGACUUAUGGAAUAACUAAUAUAAUUCUUUCACUAGUAUCCCAUAUAAUUCUUUGUGGAUACAAUACUACUACCUAGAGCCAUGGAUAAAUAUAAUUCUUUGUGGAUACAAUACUACUACCUAGAGCCAUAGAUUAAUGGCUCUCAAAGAAGAGAAAAGAAAGUAAGAGGAAUGAUUGUUAAUGGAAUGAUAGUGGUAUAAAGUAAGUGGAAAGUGAGUUGAUUUUUUUGGUUGUUUGGUAAGAGUGAAAGUGAAUGGAUUGUGAGAGGAAAGAAAAGUAUAUAUUUAUUGAAUUUUGGUAGGAGUGAAAGAGAAUGGAUUGUGAGAGGAAAGAAAGAUAUAUAUUUAUUGAAUGACAUAAUUGCCCUUACGUAACAUAAAUAUAAAUGUUUUUAUUUAAAAACAUAUUUUUUUGACAAGAUAAGACAUACAUUUAUAUUUUAUAAAUAUUUGUAUUUAGAAAAAUAUUAGUUAUAUGAGAAGCAUUCAUAUGUGUUUAACCGUAAAAAACACGUUAGUUUAUAUUUUAGAAGAAAGAAAAAAUUUAUAAAAAAAGAAAUAAAGCAUGAUAGGAAGCAAGGACAAAAAAAGAAAUACAAAAAAAUUGAUGGUAUAGUGAACUUUCUCUCCACUAGUGGGAGGAAAGUUUUCUGCGUGGGUCCCAUGUAUGAACUAAUCUUUCCAUUCACUCUUUCAUUGCAUCCAAAGGAUGGAAAGAUUAUUGGAACUUGUGCUUCCCUUCCUUCACAUAUCUUUCCUUUCACUAUCUUUGAAUUGUUUCUAAGGAAAGAUAGUGGAGAGGAGAGAAAGAUGAGGGAAAGAAGCACUUUCUAUUGAUUGAGACUCACUAAAAAGGCUAAGGAAAAAAAGAAUUCGAUGAGACCCACACUAAAAAACUUUCCACACCAAUUUGGACAGAAAGGUUUGGGAAACAACAACUUUUGUUUGAAAAGUCUAAAACACCCCUAUUUUUAUUGUUUUUUAUUUAUAUUAUUACUCUUUUUUUUUUUUCUCUCUUUAUAUUUCAAUUUGUUGUUCCAUUUGUUUUUCCUAUCCUAAUCCUAAUGAUGUACAAUUGACUCCUGCCAUACUUUCUUUUUCCAUGAAAAUAUAGACACGUGAUUUAUAUAUUUUUAUUUUUGAAAAGGUUAAAACUAAAGGACAAAAUAGUAAUUUGCAUUUAAAUGUUAUUAAAUUUCCUAGUUUUGAGUGUCUUUUUUUAUCUUCCCUAGUUUUCUUUGCUGAUUGUUUUACGUCACUGUUUUUCCACCCUCUUGUUCACAGUAGGGGUGGACAGUCGGUCGGUUAUGUUCGAAAUCGGUUUCAAAACUUGAAACCGUUUAAACCAACGGUUGCAUAUUCGUAAACCAUUUUCGACCAACAUAGGCAUCAGUUUAGUCGGUUCAGUGUAAACGAUUAAGCUGGUCAAAUGUGCGGCUUAGUUCGGUUAAUUCGAUUUUGUAUAUAUCAAUCCCUGCUCCAUAUAUUUUAAAAAUUUAACAUAACCAAAUUAUAAGCUGAAAUUUGGGUUUUCAAUAAAACCAAGAAUAAUAAUUUGGCUAUUCAUAUUAAUCUUUAUGGCCUGUCAGUUUUCAGUUUAAAUAAAAAUCAAGAGCAAUUUUUAUGCCAUAAUAUAUUAUUACAUAGAACUUGUUAGCACCAACAACAUUUGUAAACUUGUUCCAAAUAUAAAUUAUACUAACUUGUUUGCAUUGACUAACAGCAAACUUGCACAACACAGCCAAUAUUAGUAAAUAUUACAGUUGUCCAACAGUAUCAACAUUAUAAGUAUUAUAAUAUAUUACAGUCAUCCAAUAUUUGAGUAAAAUAUGAAAUAAAUUCCACUGGCUUUAAAAGCACAGACUGCUUGCAAUUGUUGAUGCUACAACAUGGCGAAUCAUGGAGAAUAAUGUUGUAGUUGAUGCUGCACAACAAAGAAAUGAAUAUAACUGUUCAAAAAAAAAAAAACCUAAACAACAAUAUGUUGAAUGUUAUAAAUUUACAAAUAUGAAUGAAUGAUAUUUGAAAACAAACCUAAACUGCAGCCCUAGAAGUCUAUAACAGCCAGAAUCCCACUUAUUAAAUUGCAGCAACCAUUUAUGAUAAACUAUAAAUUAAAACUAGUUAGUAAAUCAUAAUAAUUUUACUAGAUUAAAGAAAUUUCAUUAUAACAAAGAAAGCAAGUUUUAUUAGAUUACUUGCAAAGAGACAUACCAUAGAUAAUACUUCAUAACUCUUCAUUCUCUACUUCUCUAAUGGCAUGGGCAUAGGUUGAUAGCUUCUCAACUUAAUCCUAAUAAGAACCAAAUUGAUGAAAUCUCAACUCAAAAGAACAAAAAUUAACUAGUAUAACAAUUACAGCAAUUGUUUGUUGAAACAAUUACAUAAACUAACUUAUAGUUUACUAUUAUGUUCUUAAUGUUAAUCAUACAGUUGCUUUUAUUAAUUAAUUUUUAACUUGAUUGUACUGUCUUAAGAAUAUAUACAAUCAGGUCCACAAGCAGAUUUUGUAAGAAUUGAUAAUAAUAUAAACAAGUAGCUCAGUUCCACAUACAGUUGCUUACCAAUAAUUAAGCAUUAAUCAGUUUAACAAGCGGUUGAAACAGUUCCAUCAACAUCAAACCAUGUCCACACUCCACAAUCAUAAUGGAGCCAAGAAAAUGAAGCAUGUUACAUUUCAUAUCAUUCAAAAGCAGAUGUAUGUGUUGUGCAUUAGUAUUGAGUCAUAUUUGACUCCAAAAUAUCAAAAAAAGUCAUUCUUGCAUGACAUUAAAUUACUCUUAAUUAGUAUUACAUAAAUCAAAUACUCUAAGUAUGAUAAAGUAAGAAUAGUUAAUAAACAGUAUACCAUUUAGUGGAAUUAAACAGAAGGCCUAGUUGCUGGUGGUGAAACACCAGCAAGACCAACUCCAGAACCACUUAACACUUGUCCAAUUUCUACAAUGCAUUCAAAGCAAUAAAAGAGAAUAAAUUAAUUUGUUACUCAAUAUCAAAUACACAAUAAAUUCAUAGACACGCUACUAAGUUACCUUCAACGACAUUCUCUAAAAGCUGAUACUCUUCACUCAAAUUAAGAUCUUUGAAGUCAAUGAAAAAAGGUUUUAGUCAAUUUUGACAACAUAUCAAAGCUUCAGCCAUUGUCGGACUCAAGGAACUCCUAUAUGUGUCUAAAACUCUUCCUCCAGUGCUAAAUGCGCUUUCAGAAGCAACAGUUGACACCGAUGUGGCCAAACAAUCUGUAACCAUUGCUGCCAAAACUGGAUAUCAUACUUCAUUUUUCUUCCACCACACAAGAAUGUUAAACUUCUCAUCAUCGUUGUAACGCCCCAAUUUUAUAUUAUUGGUCGAUUUAAAGUCUUUAUAUAUAUAUAUAUAUAUAUAUAUAUAUAUAUAUAUAUGAUUUUAUAUUAUUAUGUGGUGUGUUAUAUUUUAUUAAAUAAGUUAUGUUACUAUUUAAUAGAAUAAGUGGGAAUUUAGAAUAAUUGGAGUUUUGGGGGUUAUAUUUUAAUUAAAGGAAUUAAGUAGGAGUUAAGUGUUAUAAUUGGGGGAAGUUGGAAACUGUCAGUCAGAAGCAUUUUUCACGUGGAAGCAGUUUUUGGGAGAAAAACCAAGAGGGAGCCAAGAGUAUCCAAGAGAAGAUCGUAUAGAGCUUUGUUCACCAAUCUAAGGUAAGGGUGAGGUUUACUUUCAAUAGUAUAGAUUGUAAUUCUGAUUUUGAUUUAACAUGUUUCUGGUAGAAAUUGGGAAAUUUGGGAUUAAGUUUUGAUUAUUGAUUUUUGAAUGAAAAAGUGUAGAAACCAUAUAAUUGAAUGGUGUAAAGAGUGGUUAAUCAGGUAGGUUAGUGAUGGGUUAACGUUUUAAUGAUAGGGUAAUCAUAUGGUGAUGAUUAUGGAUGAUUUUGGAGAGUUUAGGGUUAAGAAAUGGAGCCAAGGAGGUUCCCAUGGUAGAAAAUCGCAGAAAAUCUGUAAAUUUCAGUAUGUUUGAUGCAUACCCUGUUUCAAGUUCUUGCGUCUUUUUCACACGUUUCUGUUUUGACUUGACCUUUGGUGUAAACAUGAAAGUUGUAGAUAAUUUUGUUAGCUUUCCGAUGGCUUUGGUUUGAUUUGAAAAUGAUUUUUAAUUUUUGAGAUAUGAUGAAAAUACUCCAAGGAGAUCUUAAUGAAAGUUUAUUAAAAUGUUGUUGAUGUUCAGUGAGUCUGAUAAAAGAUGGUUGAGGUUGUUAAUGUUAUGGUAAAUUUUCCAAUGCAUUAUGUGGAUUAUGUAUGAUGUUUAAGUAGUGUUGAUUAUCAUUUGGUAUUGUCAUAUUUUGGGAUGUCUAUGUGCUACUAGUGUUGCUGUUGGAUCUUAAUUAAGAUGUGAAUGUUGGUUUAAAUUGUAAGCGUGCUGGGUUGUACGUUGCCGAAUGAGUCAUAAGUAAGUUAUGCAAAUUGUCGAUGUUGUUAUCAUCGUUGGUGUUGUUGUUGAAGUAGUAGUUGUAUCCGUUGUUGGUGAUUGAUCAUGUUAGAUGUUUUAUAAGAGGUGAUGUACUCUUACGUGUCGUCUUUAUAAGAGGUGGUGUACUCUUACGUGUCGUUUUUAUAAGAGGUGGUGUACUCUUACUUUAUCGUUCUUCUUAGAGGUGGUGUACUCUUACUUUGUUGUUGUCCAUAAGAGGUGGUGUACUCUUACGUUGUUUAUGUUGAUGAGUAUGAUGAGGGUAUGAUGUUACCUAUGAGUUGUUAAAUGUACUCGAGGAGGGUUAUGUUAAGUUGUCUUCUAUUCAUGAGCAUUAAGGGGAUGUUAAGAAGAAUUAUUAUUGAGUGCAUACGGUGUUGUCAUGUCAUUUGCAUGAGUCGGUGUUGUUUGUUGUAAAUGCCAUAUUGAUGAUGAUGAUGUUGUUUGAUGGAGUAUAUAUUUAUACACAUAUAAUGAUGAUUUGAUUGAUGAAGACUUGAUUUGAUGAUGAUGUGUUUUAUGAAGUAUAUAUUUAUAUAUAUAUAUAUGGUGAUGAUCUGAUUAUAUUUAGGGUGUUAGAUUCAAUUGAUGAAUUUUAAUAUCUAUAUUUUAUUGUUGUGAAUCUCACCCCUUCUGCUUGAAAAUGUUGCCCUUCCUAUGGGUAACUUGCAGGUGAUCCUGAGUAGUUGGUGGUGGCUCAAGUGUCGUGUCUAGGGCUCUAAUACGUAGGGAUGAGAUUUUCGUAUUGUUUUUUAUUCCUAUGUAUCAAUUUUUGAAUAUUGCUGACGUAGCCCUAUGGUUGUUGAAUUUAUGUUGAUAAGGCUUUUAUGCCAAGAUUUAAUUAUGGAGAUUUAAACUGUUGCUGUUGUUGUUUUGAUGCAAAUUUUCCGCUGCAAAAUUAAUGAUGAUUUUGAAGGAUUUUUAUUAAAUAGAUUUUAUAUUCUAUUUAAGAAAUUUUGAAAAUGUAGUGUGACAUGCCCGUUUGGGAAUUACUCUGAUGCAUGUUUAUUUAUUAAUUAAUUGAUUUUGGGAAACGGGGUGUUACAAUCGUUUUCAGGUGGGUCACUUAAGUACCUCUCAAGGUCAUUUUGUUGAACAAUGGUUUCCUUUGUUUUCAAAUGUUGUUUAAAUGCAUCUGCCCUUGCACCAAGUGAUGGAUUUUUGGGAAGGGCAAGUUGUUCAACUAGUGAAUUGUUGCUACUAGAUGGCACUUCAGAUUUGUACAAAUUGUACAAUUUGAAUAAGUUAUCUUUCACACUUCCGACCCUUUCUUUUGCCAACUCACUACCAACCCAUACAAAUCACCAAAUGACCACUCAAUAUAUUCAAAUUUGUACCUAGGGUCAAAUUAGACUCCAAAAUAAAGCAAUUGGUUCAUUUUCACAACAUUCCCCCAAUACUUAUCAUACUUUUCCUUCAUAUAUACUCCCAUUGAAGCCACAACAAUAUUCAAGUUCAUUGCUUCCUUUUGAAGCUCACACAAUAUUGAAGCUAGGUUGUGAAAUGUGGUAUCCAAAGACACUUGUUGAGAGGAUGAAAAUAUCAUUGUAGCAUCAUAGAAAUUUUGUAAAAAACUAACAAAAGCUCUAACCUUUUCCCAAUCACUAGAACUACCUGGGCCAGUUUUACCAAACCACUCCUUAUACCCAACAUCCUCCCCCUCUAACUUCUCAAAAGCUUCUUGAAAAUUUACGGCGGCAUCCAACAUCAAAUAUAAUGAAUUCCACCUAGUGGGAACAUCAAGACAAAGGUGCUUUUUGCAUGCUAUCCUUGACAUUUCUAUGCAUUCUUUGAAUUUUGAUGCUCUUUGUGGUGAAGAUCUAACAAACCUAACAGCAUUGCGGAUGCUAAAAAUAGACAAAUCUUGAUCCUUUAAGCCGUCCAGUACUACCAAGUUCAAUAUGUGUGCUACACACCUCAUAUGCAAGUGACCCCCUUCACCCAUUAGCCCAUUCAUGUUCUUAAGUCUUCUCUUUAAAUAAGAGACAACCACAUCAUUCGCAGAAGUAUUGUCAACGGUUAUUGUAGACACGUUUCUAAUCCCCCACUCCUUUAAAACCUCCUCAACUUGCUUACCAAUGGUUUCUCCUUUGUGAUUUGGUAUUUGGGCGAAACUAAUUAUUCUUUUUUUAUUUUUCCAACUAUUGUCAACAAAGUGUGUGGUGAUGGCCAUGUAACCAAGGUUUUGAAUGGACGUCCAACAGUCCAUGGUUAAGGUUACCCUUCUACAAUCAGAUUUGAAAAAUGCCUUCAGUUUUAAUUUUUCAUUGACAUAAAUGUCGAAACAAUCGCGAGCAACUGUUCUCCUUGAAGGAGGGGUCAUUAGUGGUUGUAAUUUUUUACAUAAUUGCUUGAACCCCUCACCUUCUACAACUCUAAAAGCAUGUUCGUCAAGGAUAACAAAGUUGGUUACGGCAUCCCUACAGUCUUUUGCAUUGUACCUUUGGCUAGCUGAAACUAGAAAACCACCCUUCCCAUUUAUAAGAUUUGUUUGCCUAGGUACAUUUAGCAUGUUCUCUGGUUUCUUAAGGCAGACUCUAAAGCGUGUUAACAUGUUGGACGUCCCAUUUAAUUUAGAAUCACAAUGGCAUCUUUUAUGGCAGUGUUUACAAGCGGCUGUAGGUUCUGGUUUAUUGGGUAAUGGAUUAAAAUCAAGCCAAACGGGAGAGGUUCUCCUAUUACCAUUGGCAUUAGGUCUCCUACACCUAGUAGUGGGUAAGGGGGGGAGCUCAGCAGCUGCUUGUGGAGUAAAAUUUUCGGUUUGAUUUGCACCCUCGUAAAAUUAUUUUUCCGGAAAACAUCCCUAAUAGGCCAUUUUCAGAAUUUUUUUUCAAGAAAUUUUGGUUUUUGAAUGACCUAUUAAGGGUGUUUUCCGGAAAGAAAAAAAAAUUACGAGGGUGCAAAUCAAAUAGAAAAUUUUAUAGGGGCGAAAACCGGAAAUGACAUAUAUUACAGGGGUGAAAAACACUAUUAACCCUAUAAAAUAUUAAGUGUUUCAAUAAUUAUAAAGUAUUAAGCCUUAAAUAAAAGCAUCUUCAAUUGCCAAUCAAUAAUUAACCAAAAAUAUAUUUAAACUAGAAAAAAUAUACCAUGAUAAAACUAAGAAAAAAAUAAACAAUAACAAACCUCUAACGUAAAAAAAUAUUUAGCAGAAGUUUGAAAUUGGAAUGAGCGUUAUGCUAGCAGACUUUGACAUGUAAUCUUUUGUCAUUUAUAAUCUUUGACAUGUACAUAAUUAGUGUGUUUGGGAAAGACUUGUGUUUGCAUAAAAAAACAAGGGGGAAAGAUCUGUGUGAAGUCUAAAAAAACUGCAUCAAAUCAUUUGUUUUAAUCAUGCAUUCCUGCUAAGAAUAGUUAAAAGAAUACAUAUAUACUUUACAUGGAUAAGGCAGCAACAAACACGUCAACAAUAUUUUCUAAAAAUCAUUAGACUUACGGUUAGCUUCGGCUUUAAUCACCCCCUCCAUAGGGGCAACUCCAGUUGCGCCCUCCGUAGAUCCAACUCCAACUGCGCCCUCCGUAGCUCCAACUCCAACUCCAACUGCGCGCUCCGUAGCUGCAACUUCAGUUUCCUCGUCCAUGACUGAUUUUAAGAGAGAAAAAUUUUGAUCAAAACAAAAAUAUGCAUAAUGAUAUUCCUUACACAUAUUAAGCAAUAUUGAAAGAUAUAAAAAAAAAAAAAAAAAGGAAAUAGAAGUAUUACUCAAAAUAAAAAUAUACAAGCUAGUAUUACAAAAUAAAAAUAAAAGUAUUACUCAAUAAAAAUAAACUGAUACAUAAAUUAUAAACAGAAACAUACAUAAACAGAAACAAGUGAAAUAAAAACAAAAAAAAUUAGUAAAAGAAAAUAUAUUUAACAUUCAGAGUAAAUGAACAUUAACAACAUAGUCAGAAAUAAAUCCUCACCGUCGAUCUUUAGCCAAAAUCCUUGAAAAAAUCCUAAACCAGAAAGAAACUGUUAUUAGCAACAAAAACACGAGUUGAAUAUAAACCCUUUAACUUCAGUGAGCUAAGAAACAUGACAAACCUUUCAAAUUUCUACAAAGAAACAGUUGAAAGUUGGUUUUGGACGAAUUGGGUUUUGUUUAGUGAAUUUUAAUGGAUGAUUUCUGAAAAUGUUUAUGGGUUAGGGAUGGGUUACGGAAAUGGAUGAGGGUUAGCGAUGAUCUGGAUUCAUGAUCUCAGGAAAUGGAUGAGGGUUAGGGAUGAUCUGGAUGAUGGAAAAUUGAGAAUGUGUUAGGCUUCGUUUGGGAAUAGAAGAGCAGCGGCGCAAAUAAGAUGGGAGUGAAAUUUUAGGGUUUUCUCCAUUGUGAACAAUAUUUAUAUGUAGGCCUUUGCUGAAAAUGGGCUUACCAAUUUGGGCUGGACCAUGCAGGGAACCACAAGUAGAAUAAUAACUAGUAUGCACCGGUCGGUUACGGUUUUCGGCGGGUUGGAAAUUGUAACCCGUAACCGACCACUCUUAGCCACAACAACCCAUUUCAAAUGGACCGUGUGAACCACUUAACCGAACAAACCGAACCGGACCGGUUCAGCCGGUUUGGUCCGGUUUUCCAUAUUCUGUCCAGCCCUAGUUCACAGUUCCUUAAUUAUCUUUAGAGGCGGAGCUGCUAUGGGCCAAGGUGGGCCAUGGCUACCCCAAACCUAAAAAAAAUAAAUUUAAUAGGUAUUUACAAAUAUUAGAAUAUGAAUUUAUAUUAUAUACAUAAUCUGUUGCGAGUAUAUAAGCGUGUUCCAGUGGUUUAGGCUAGGUGUUUUGUACUUGCUUGUUUACAGUUUGAUUCCUACCAGCCUUCGAUUCUUUUUAAUUUCUUAUCCUUUAUUUUUUUUUUAAGAUUUACUACAAAAAAAUAUACUGCUGGAGUUUGAACUGGUUCACAAGAACUUGAAACAAUUAGUUCUUUACCAUUUGGACAACAACUUCCUAUAUAAAAAGAUAAUUUGAUUUUGAUUAUUAUAUAUACAAUUCUAUAUCGCUCACCAAUAAAAAAAUCAAAAUUAUUUUUCAAUUAUAUGUGUAAUAAAGUAUAAAUUAUAUGAUAUUUAUGUUAAAAUAUUCAUAAAAUUUCGGCUUGAAUUAUGUUCUAUAGAAUGAAAAAAAAUUAAUCGUUCUUCAAAUUAAUUAAUAAAGAACAUAAAUUUACACCUCCCAUAAAAAAAAUAUAAAUUUACACUUGUUAAGAAAAUCGGCCCACCCUCAAAACUAUUUCUAGCUCCGCCAUUGAUUAUUUUGUUUGUGUUAAUCUUUCAAAUUCCUCAAAUCAUAUUCACCAGCUACUUGUAAAAACACUCUCCAUUUUUAAUUCAAAUGUCAAUGACUCAAAAGUUUAAACCUGACCAAUAUAAAAAAAUAAGCUAAACAAAUCAAUCUCAAACUUAAUUAUAUAUAGCAAAGACCCAUUAUGGGUCUGUUACACAACUUCGAUGGUCUACGCCAUGAUUAAACCUUCAACAAACAUAACUGCAUCCACUUAUGAACCCCAACCACUUUCUCAAUACUCGGUGGAAGAUUAAAUAUGGAAAAUCGAUUUCAUAGGACAAACAGAAAAGAGAAAUAGUUACAUAUGCAUGCAGGACGUAUUAUUUGAAGUAAUGGAAUGAGAAAAAAUGCUGGGAUUUUUUCUGAACAUAGCAUCGUGAAAGAGAAUAGUGACAAAACAAAAUUACUACCGAGAACCAUGGGCGUGGGAAUGGAGACCAAAAAGACACGCAAAACUAGGAAAAUUAAAAUAUAAAACAAUAUUGGAACAUAAAUUACUAUUUUGUCCCUCAAUUUUUUCUUUUUCAAAAAAACAUGAAAUGGGUAUAUUUGUCCAAAGCAAAAGGUGCAGGUUGCUAAAAUGGAUCUUCAUAAAAAAAGGGUUAUUAAUCUAUAAUCUAUAACUAUUAAUAAAGGGAAAACAUUGUUUUGGUGUAGCCUUUUUUUUUACCUAUUUUACCCCUCAUUUAUUACAAAUAUUCCAAAAAAGCAAAACUGUUGAAAGUGGGAGUCAGAUACUAUAUGUAACUACUCUAGCUGCUCUUCCAUAUUACUCCCUCCGUCCUAAAUUGUAUGAUGUUUUGGUCAUUUCACACGUAUUAAGAAAUGUAAUUAAUAUUGUGGGGGAAGAGAAAUUAUGAGUUGUUUUACAAAAUUAUCCUUAAUAAAUGAUAUGGAAAAAAUAAAUGAAAUAAUUGAAAGAAGAGAAAGUAAUUAAUAGUUAAGGAUAUAAUAGGAAAAGUAACAUUAAUAUUUCAUUGGUAUUGUAAAGCGAUAUAUAAUUUAGGACAAUUUUUUUUUCCAAAGCGACAUACAAUUUGGAACCGAGGGAGUACCUUUUACUACUCAUCCCAUGUUCAUCACCGGUACAAUAAAAGAGAUUGCAUCAAAAUCAAAUGCCAUAAACUAAACAAGAAAAGAGAUUGUUACAAUGCACACAUCGGCCAUCGGAAAUAACUUCCAGGUUUCAUAUCCUGCAUGUUCUCUUAUUAAUUAUAUCCUAUGCAACUUCUUUAAAUUUUAUGUCAAGAAAAAAAAAAUACAACAAUAGAUAACGGGAUACUAUCAUUUAGCCUGUACGCAAUGAAUUAUUAUUUAUUUUUUUUACAAAAACCACCAUUAAAAGAGAUGAACAAAAACCUAAAAAAAGACGAAGAAUAAGAAGAGAAGAACAACUUCUCCAUACCUUCUAAUCCCAUCUUAGUUGGUCUAAUCGGCAAGUAAAAAAAAUUGAGAGGAAGAAAAAAGAGGAGGAGAAAUGGUUUAAGAAGUAUGAUAUGGAAAAGUUAAGGAAAUUAAUUUAAAAUUAUAGGAUAUGCGUGAAUUGGUUUAACCUUUUUUUGAUUGUGGGUUGCUCCUUUUAAUCAUUAGACCAGAUAAAAAGAAACAAUAUUACUUGCAUGUAGUUUGCUUUUCAAAUUCCAAUUUUCAAUUACAUAGCAAAAUAAAAUGUAGACAGACUUAACAAAACUAAUUUGAUCGAUAUUUGAGUUCUCUAAGAGCAGAGGAUGAGACAUAUGCAGAAGUGGAAAAGGUAAGGAGAAGAGCGAACGACUUCUGGACCGUAAGGGAGAGGGCAAGACAUGGAUAUGGCACGGAGACACCGAUAGUUCCUGAGCCUGCGACCGACGACAAUAUCAAGGGUGACAUUUUCUUCUUACUUGAUAUUUUGUAAUUUUGUAUGGUUGUUUUCUUUACGUUUGAUAGGUUCUUUGCAAAUGAUUUUAAAGUAAAUGUUGGAGUCACGUUGCGGUUUGCAAGGGAGUACCAAUUUAUAUUGGGGGUUGAUUAUUCAUUACUUGCUUCUUCAUUUUUUUUCUUCAGGAUAAUGGAAAUUUUCACUUUGGAACAUUUGUUGUUGCAUUGUGAAAUUGGUAAUAUACAAGCCACUAUGAAAGGGAGGUUGAAAUUGUGGAUCUCUUAUGAAUUUUCUUCAAAUUCCAAUUACCAAUACACAAUUGAUACAAACAAUUGAACGAUUUAUCUUUUUCAUUUUCUAGAAUUUUGAUAUGGCUUAUCGGUUUGAAAUUUCAAUUUGUUCAUGGAGACAAAUGAUAGAUGUAGUUGUGUCUUUCGAUUCGAUGCAGCGAAUCCAUCUCACACUUUCAUUUUGCUAUUGCUAUUUUUUAAUUAAAAGGGUUUUCAAUUUGCUAUUAUUGAUGUAGAGUUUUUUUUUAUACCCAUGAAGAAUUCAUGGUACAAUGAUGGUAAGUAAACAUUUACACAAGUUACGUUUUCCCUUAAGGGUUGUUAAAGUAGAUGAUAUUUACAUUAGGGGUCAUGAGUUUAACAUUUUUAGUUUGUAUGCAUUUUUUUGGCAACAAAUGAAUGUCAUCUGGGAACAUGGAAAGGGGACCGAAACUGGCAGUGCAUAAUCUAUUGAUUGACUUACAUAACUAAAUUUUUUUAUUUACAUAUAAUUGUUUCUAUCAAGUUAAAUUACUAAUGCUGAUUUAAAUUUAUUUUACUUUAAAAUGUUGUUGAUCAUUUUGGAUUAAAGGCCAAGUGAAGUUGAUUUAACAAUAUAAGUUGAGAGAACUGCUUCUUCUAAUUUAAUUACAUGGAAUUAAUUAGUAUCAUGCAAAGUUUAUACGGUUAGACAUGUUAUCAUACAAGACUAUACUAUUAUUGUUAUGCCUGAAGUGAUGAUCAUAAAAUCUUAUCUCCAUUUACUUACAAAACAUAUGUUUUUUUAUAGUCUUGCAUCAUAUAAUAAAAAAAAAUCCAAACUGAACAUAGAACUGAAUAAUUGUAUUAUUCUUGAACUCAAACUUAAUUAAAAUAAAAUGUUUUUAUAUAAUGGCUUGAGAAAUAAUAUAGAGCAUAUGUGUAUUGAUAUCUGUAAAUUGUGUUAGUGAUGUGAAAUAUUUAAUAUCUUCAUCAAAUCCAUCCCCAUAAAUUUCACUAAUGUUUCAAGCGAUGAAUCACAAAACCAAGUAUAUAUUAAGUAACUUCAUGUUAAAAGAAGUGCAUGUAUUACCUAUCUUACAUUUUUUAUCAAGUUCGAUCCUUCUUUUUUUAUCAAUCUCGAUCUUUCUUUUAUUUGUGUUAAUUUUGUUCAAGGUGAUGAUUUGAUAAGAAGAGGGACACGUUGCAAAAGAGACAACAAAGGACGGCACCAAAUCCAUUUGACUUCAUCUGUGUCUUACCCUUAAUUUUUUUUUAUCUUUCUUUUUUUGAUCAAUUUCUAUUUAUACAACAAGAAUAAGUUUCAUUGAGUUGAGUCUUAUACAUUACAAACUUUUUUCUCCCUCUCUUAUCUCUUUCUUUAUUUUCUCACGUAUCAAAAACUUCUCCCACUUAUCAGACAUAUCAUAUCCUUCACGCAAACUCAUUGACCAUCUAUUAGUUUAAUAUUAGCUCAACAAUUAACUUCAAAGUCUUCACUUACCUUAGAACUAUAGCACAUUCACUAUGGGAAGAGCACCUUGGAUGACUUUUCUCACCUUGAGAUUUAAUGAAUGCCACAAAAUUUAAUGAAUGCGUGUCUCACCUUGAGUGUACCUUUAAACUUUUUUACCUAGCGUCCAGACGGGCACGAGAGAUAUAUAAAUACAUUAGCACAGUAGAAAGAGCGAACAUACGGGCACGAGAGUGUCCGUCUAGUCACUAGGUGAGAAACACAUUCAUUAAAAUUUGUGUACCUUUAAAUUUAAUGACUUUUAGGUGAGUGUACGUACCUUUAAAUUUAAUGACUUUUCUUACCUUUAAAUUUUAUGAAUGUCACAAAAAUUUAAUGAAUGCGUUAUAUGCAAAUAAAUGAGUGUACCUUCUUGGAUGACUUUUCUCACCUUGAGAUUUAAGGUAAAGAGCCUCUUUCUCUUUUUCUAGAAAUGAACUCAACUUUCUAGCGUCAAGACGGCCACUCCGGUGCCCGUCUGUCCGCUUUUUCUACUGCACUAACGCAUGUAUAUUUUACCUUUCAUUCUUUUUUCAUAAAUUAAAUUUUGUAUAGUUUGCAAUUCACAAAUAUAAGAACUAAAAACCUAAUGAGUAUAGAUUUAUUUAUCAGUUAUUUUUUAUAAUUUUUUUCAGGAUAAAUCAAGAAAAAGUAAACAAACAUUAAACAAAAAAUAUUAUUUAUCAGUUAUAUGCGUUAGCGCAGUAGAAAAAGUGGACAGACGGGUACGGGAGUGCCCGUCUGGACGCUAGUCUAUCUAUACCUAUUAUAAAGGAAAUACUAUUUUUUGGUGUAGCCUUUUUUUGUAAAUCCCAAAAUGCCCUUUUCAGUUAUAUUUUCUACACUAUUAACUUCUCAUCCCACACAAUCGAUUAGAUUUAAUGCCGGUUACUUACUUUCCAUUAACUUCUCACCUCACAGAAUUCUAAAUAACUGCUUCCCCAUUUCAAUUACAAAAACACAUGUUCCUACAUACAAUGAUACAAUCAUCAAUUCUACCAUUUUUUUCAUUUACAAUUUCUAUGUAUUGUUCCUAUCAACAAAAAAAAAAUCUCUAUCCAUUGUUAUCUUAUCUCUCCAUUAAUUCAUUUCAUUGUCAACCAUUUUUACUCAAAAAAAAAAAGGACAUUUCAUCAUGGAAUGAUGUUGUUAACUUACGGUAAAUGAUUCUUACUUCCUACAAUUGUAAUUGUAUGUACAUGACUUUAUUAUCUCUUUCUUUCCUGUCAAAUUUCCACCACUUUGGUACUCUUUUAUUUCUUCUCUGUAUACAUUCUUCUAUCUUUUUGGUUAUGAACCUUCUUACUUACAAUCGUUGUUAAUCUCUCUAUAGCUUUUUUUUUUUUUUUUAUUGUUGUUAAUCACUCUUUUUAUUUCCUUCCUUUUUACCUGUUAUUUAUUUACUAUGAAUUUUGUUUAUGGUAUGGGAGUUUAAUUUGUUUGUGAAUGAAGAUGCCUUAGUUUAGUUUUAUAAUAUAAUAUCGUACACUUCUUUUUUCCCUUUUGUUUUGAUUAAAAUUUCUCUUUUCAUUCCUUCUAAGAUCGUAUACUCUAACACCCUCAUAUCCAACCAGAUAUGCAUCUUCAAAGUUAAUUUGCAUUCUCUUUUGAAUUUUAAGAUGAUUAUAUUUAGAUCACAAGUAGACCUCACCUUCCAUUGAUGCUAUGAUAUUUAACUUUUACUCUAUAAUUUGAACACCUUUGGUUUGAAGGAGUAUAAAUAUCAGUGAUAAUAAAAUUUGGCCUAUUUUAUUGUUUUAAUCCUUGCUACUGCAAUAAGAAAAUAAUUUUUGCUUUAGACAUUUUAGUUAUGGACUUAAUGGAUUUUAGUGGUUGGGUUUAGUUUUUCAUUCAAAAUGGUACAUGAUUUGUGUUAAUUUUUUCCCUCUUAUAUUUUCUAUCUUCUUUUUGUUAAGUUUAUACAUUUUCCCAUUCAAAUUGAGUGUUGUUGGUUUUUUCUUCACAUUUCUAAUUGAGAUAUGAAUGAAGGCUAUUUCGGAUUCCUCAUAACUAAAAUGUCAGAGGAGCCACAUCAGCUUUACACCCAGCCUUGAUAUUCUAGAAUAAUGCAACAACCUUGAAAGUAAUAGAGUUAUAGUGCAAGUAAAACACAAAUUUAGUUGCACAAAACAAAUGAUGCAUGUCCUGUUAGUUAGAUUAUUUUAGACAUAGUUAAAGCACUUUGAAUCUACUUCAGCAUGAAGUUCCAUUAUUUUAAACAUAGUUAAAGCACAUUUGAAUCUACUUCUACAUGAAGUUUCAAUAUAUCACUUACAUUGAAGGUUUCAUGUUACCAUGUUUAUGUUUUAACAUAUGUGAAAUUUUGAAUUGAUAUAUUAAAUAUUGAUAUGAAUUGUUUUACAAACUUUGAUACAAAGAUGUUUGUUUACUGAUUUUAGUUAAAAUAUUUUCUUAAUUUGUUUCUACAAAUGGAUGCAAUGUUUUAAUAUGUGUUAAUUACUAUGACAUUAUAUUUGGGAUGCAUAUUUCAUGUCAUCCAUAUAUAUAUAUAUAUAUAUAUAUAUAUAUAUAUAUGUGGAUAUAAAAUUAUACAACGAAGAGUAAAUAUAUCGUAUACAUAUGUUAUUGCAAUACACAAACAAAAAAAGAGGAUAAAAGGGCAUCAAUAAAUUUCUAUUCACCAGAUUUUUAGUUCUUAUAUUUGUAAAUGACAAACUAUAUAUUAAUUUAUUUUUAGUCCAGCGUGCCCGUCAGGACGCUAGUAUUAAUAAAGGCAAUACAUGCUUUUGCUGUAGCCUAUUUUUAUUGCCUAAAAUACCCUUGACAAUUUUUAUUUUAACCUGCAACAUAUGGUAGUUGUCACAAGUCACAACUAUGCACACAACACGUACACACACAAAAAAAAAAAAAAAAAAAAACUGCUAAAAGUACAGUACAAUUUAAUUUAAAAAUAUUGUACAUAGCCAAUAAACUUCCGCAAUAUUGAUCAGAACUUCAGUUUGAGAGAAACCGCAAUAUUGAUCAGACCUCAAAUUAUCAAUGAAUGAGUUUUCAAUGUAUUCCUGAAGUUUUAUUGUUUGUUCUCGUAUUUGAUUACUAAUCUUGGAAAAUUAUUAUUGAUUUAUCAAAAAUCCUUGACAAUUCUAACUAUAAAACUGGUUACACCAUGAAAUGUUUGAAAUCAAUACAUUGCUUUAUUAAUUUAAGCUCGACUCAAGAUUUGCUAUUUUCAACUUUAUCUCAUAGCUUACUCUCACAUGAAUUCUCUUGCCUACAUUGCCUUUGAUAUUUCACAAAUAAGGACAAUCUUCGGAAAUAUUAAGACUACACGGCGACCAUUGCAUAUGAUUCACGUUGCCUGCCUAUGAUUCAUUCACAUGAACUCUUUUACCUUCCCGUGCUCCCUUAACAAGCGAGUAGUUGCACAUUGGGUUAAAGUGCAUGUGUUUCGAGGUUUUACCUUCUCCUGCUCCCUUAACAUGCGAGUAGUGGGACAUCGGGGUUUUGAAAGUGUUUGUGUUUCGAGGUUUUACCUUUCUCUGCUCCUUUAACAAGUGAGUAGUUGUACGUUGAGGUUUUUAAAGUGCCUUUAUUUUGAGGUCUUACCCUCACCUUCUCGCUUAACAAGAAAGUAGUUGGACAUUAGGGUUUUUAAAGUGCCUGGGUUUCGAGGACUUACCUUCACCUGCUCCCUUAACAAGUGAGUAGUUGGACGUUGAGGUUUUCAAAGUUCCUUUUUUUGUUGGGUAAUGUUAACCAAUGCCCCAGAGCACUGGUUAAGGAAAAAAAAUAUAGUAAUAUCACAUCGGAACUUGUGCAGUCAACUCAUUCAAAGUCUAAAAAGUAUUUUUUUUAAUUUAAAAUUUUCUUUUGAUUACCUUAAUCAGUGCCCCGGAGACACCGGUUAACAUGACCCUUCUUUAUUUUGAGGUCUUAGCUUCCUUUUCUCCCUUAACGAGAAAGUAGUUCGACAUUAGGAUUUUCAAAGUGCAUGUUAUUCGAGGUCUUACCUUCCCAUAAUCCCUUAAUUAAUAGGGGAGUAGCUGGACCAGGGGAAGAAGUAGAUAGAGGCUAUGUGAGGCUAAAGCCUCACAAGCCUUUUCCCUUUUUUUUUGUUGGUUAUAAUAGAAAUAACACAAAGUGUUUCAUGUUUGAGUCCCGCAAAGUCAUUGUAGUUUUUGAUGUGAAGAAAUUAUUGAGGUUGACUGACUUUUAUCCAAAUGAUUUUUUAGAAAUGUUGGAAGUGACGUUAGACCAUCAACUUAAGAAUUAUGUUACAAAUGUUCGAUAUGACCCAAAAUUUGCUAAGUUAAAUUGGCUUUCAGAUCUUUGUUCUAAACAUGUAGAAACAAAUAAGUGCAACACAUAAGUUAUGGUUUAUAAACUUUUGAAGUUGACUUUGCUCUUGACGGUAGCAACUGCAAGUGUUAAACGUGUUUUUUCACCUAUGAAAGUUGUGAAGAGUAACCUAUGUAACCAAAUAGAUGAUUAGUGACUAAAUGAAUGUAUUGUAACUUGUAUUGAAAGAUAUGAUUUUUAACAAUAAGAAAUGAUGUUAUUUUAGCUCAUUUUCAACAAAUGGAUAGGAGAAAAUUUUCAUUGUAAUGUAUUGUAUCAAACAAUGUUUGCAUUAUUGUUUCUUUGAAAUUUUAGCCCCCCAUAUACCAAAAGUCUGGAUCCGCCCCGGAGGUGGACAUCUAUAUAUAUAUAAAUCCUAACAAGUCUCAAAAUCCUAUUCCCUAACUCUAAUACUCAAUUAUCUAUUUUACCCUUAUUUUUACAACCUUUCCAUCAAGAAGCAUGUGCAAUGAGUAAAUAGACAAUUACCCUCUUGAAAUUGUAAGUUUCGUCAAUUACCCCCUUGAAAUUAACAAUACUUAAAUUACCCCUCUGAAAUUGCAGAACGUUAAUCAAUUUACCCCCUCCGUCAAAUUCUUCUGUUAGUCAACAUGACGUUUUGCAAAUACCCCCCUUAAGUUUUGUACUUACGUGCAAAAUGCCGCUCAAACUUAAUUUUUUAUUUUUUUUCUUAUACUUGACUCGAAUGAUGUUAAGGAAGCUUGAGAAAUGCAUUUAGAAUUCAAGGAAGAGCUUAAAGAGUUACUUGGUGAAGGAUACUAUGGUAAAGGAGGAUUACCAAAAGUGUUUUUUGAAAAGAAAUACAUUUGUGGAGUUAGGAAAUUCAGAGACUUUGUGAUGACAAGAAGUUUGAGAAAUUGCUCGAUUAUUGUGAAAGGAUUAACAACAUUGAAGGAGGUGAUGGUGGAUGUGAGGCUUGUGGUGAUAUAAAAUUUGUUCCUUGUGAAACAUGUUAUGGAAGUUGUAAAAUCUACUAUGGAGGUGAUUAUAAAGAAGAUGAUAAUUGUGAGGUUAGUGGGUGAGUGUGGAUUAGUUUUCAAAAAAUUUCUUAUCCUUUAUUCAUUGUUUUUACUUCUCACUAGAAUAGAACUUCCACUUCCCAUAUUAGUCACAAGUAUUGCCAGAAAAGCUCCAGUAGAUAUUCUCGCAAUCCAUUGUGACAACUGGACCAAUUUAUGUCUCAAGGUUUUUAGUGGAAGCUUUGUUUUUGUUUUUUUAUUUUUUUUAUUUUAAAUGUUUCUUGACUUACUUUCAUCUACGAGUGCGAGCUGUUAGUUUGGAAGGUCUUCGUGAAAUGGGUUAAAGUUUCUUCAACUUGAGAAGUUCUUUUGUUGUUGAUUGUGAAUAGGCCCUUGACUUUUAUUGCUCCAUUUGAGCAGGGCUGGCCUAAUAAUUUUUAAAAAUAAACGGGGUCUAAAGCAAGAUUGAAUGUAUGACACCUUUUUUAUUAGAUUGUGAGGCCUUUUUGCUUGUAAAAUCUAAUAAAAAAUAAUUUUUUGUUGGGAGAUCUAAAGCUAGUGCUUUGGUGGCCUUACCCUUAGACCGACCCUGCAUUUGAGGUUGGGGUGUUCCUUCCAUGCAUUGUUGUAUGUGUUAGAGAAGGUAUUUCCUUUCUUGAGCUGCCCAUGUAACUUACAUCUUAAGUCUCCUUCCAGGAGACACUCACAAUUUGCUUGAUUUAUGGGUAAAUGAAUUUUUUUCGUGAUUUAAUUUUUUCAAAUGUUUAGGAAAGACAUUGUGUUUCGAUGAAAUUUUUUCUUUAGUAUGAUGUAGGCGAGGAUCGGAUCCUAAGAUCAAAACGGUUUGUAAGGUUCGAGCAUUCAAAAAAUGAAUAGUUGGAUCAUAAACCCCUAUCCUCUGUACAACAAUGAAUGAGAGUUACAAUAUGAUAGGUUCGGAGGUUACGAACCGAGGGGGCAUUUUGGGGUUUCGAAGGGGUUUAUGAGCAAUUGAAGGGGCCUAAAGAGAAAUUUUCAUUAAGAUAUAUUGUUGAAUUUGGUUUGUUAGGCCCAAGUCUAAACUUUCUAACCCUAAAGUCAUGAUAUUCUUUUGUUCUUUAUAUUUUAUUGUUAUUUCUUGUUGAUAUUGUUUGAUUUUCUGUUUCUUGUUUUCUUGAGUAUUUUCAAAUUUUUAAGCAUAUUUAAAACAUAAAAUUUCAAUUGUGCUUCAAUUCAUUAGCAGCUUCAUAGGAAACUCAGUUUUCAAUUUGAAUUUAUUUAAUCUAUUUUACAUUUGAUUUCAUGAUGUAUACAUUGACCUAUAGAUAUUCUCGAUCUGAUAAGUUGAAGAAAGUAAUUAUAUGUUAUGUUUCUAGGCUAACCAAUUUCUCAUUCUUUCAGGGCUGAUAUUUAUAUCAUUGGAUGGAGAUGUAAGUGUCAUUGUGAACUUAGCUCAGUUGAUAGGGACAAUCUAUAAUAUAUGUAAGGUCCGGGUUCAAACCCCGGCCACCACCAAAAUAAAAAAAAAGAUGGAGAUGUAAGUGAACACAAAGUUGAAGAUGAUCUCACAAAAAUCAUCACUAUUCUCACAACGUGAAUCAAUAAAGGAUCAGGUAUGUCAUCAAUACCAAAUCCUCAAACCUUAUUUAUAUUAAUUUUUCGUUAUUCAAGAUAAUAUCACAAUUGCUUGACGAAUCCCUCUAAUUAGGGUUGGGAAUAGGCUAGGCCGGCCUACAGGGACCUAUGGCCUGGCCUAGUUAAGCCUGGCCUGCCCUGACCUGUUUAUUAAAAAGGCUAGGUUUAGGCUUUUUAAAAAGUCUAUUUAAGUAAAUAGGUCAGGCUUAGGCUAUAAACAAAGUCUAUGAAGCCUAAUAGGCCGGCCUGUUUAUGCAUGUUAGGCUUCAUAGUGGACUUUUUAAAUAGGCUUUAAAGCUUUAUAGUGAAAUAGGCUUUUAAGGCCUUAUAGUAGUGAUAGACAAAUCUUACACUGAAAUAGGCUUUGAGACCUAUUAAGCCUAUUUAAAAGUAGAUAAAAUGAAAUGUUUAGUGACUUUAAUAGUAAGUAGGCCUGUAAAUAGGUUUUCAGGCCUGGCCUAUUCCCAACCCUACCGCUAAGGAUCUUUGGUUCCCUUUGAAAUGUACAAAUUUUUAGAUUUGUUUGGAUCUCAUACCUGUGGUAAACCAAAGGAGAUAAAUUCAUCAGAUACAUAGGAUUCAAAGUCAUGAUGGUUGAGCACACGAGGAAGGUUUCAACAUCAAUUUCUAAAAACCAUUUAUUUUUUGGUUAGAUCUUAUGGAUUUCAAAGAAGGGAUUUUUUUUUUCAAAUUCAUUACAUUAUGGAAUGGUUACCACAAAAAAAAAUUCAUUGUAAAAGAUCUAUCUUUAAAAUUAUUAGUCUGAAAAUGAAUAUGAUUACGAGAUUGUGGUAACUUGUGUUGCUUUUUCUACCCAACACGGUGUUAAAUAUUUGGUGAUAGAUUUUAAUGAUCGCUUUAGUGGCUGAAAGCUAAUAAUAUCACAUUUAUGUAUUAUUAGAGUAUGAAUAAUCAACUAUGGUUAGUUGAUAGGUAAAUUAGAGUUAGUAGCUUCGUUAAGAGUUAUUUAGAGUUAGUUACACAACUAAACUCUAUAUAUAGGAACACUCGUGUAUCAUUUCAUUAUCUUUUAUCAAAUAUAUUGAUUAUCCUAUGAGUCUCUAUGGUUAUCUCCCACAUGAAUACUACUAUGCUCUCUCUCUAGCUGAUAUCUAUGAUCUUUAUCUUUCAGAUUCCUUGAUCCAUAACAUGGUAUCUGGAGCCUUUCUCUCUCAUCUUCAUGAAGAAAGUUUGUUACAAAGUUAGUAACAACAAAUUUUCUUCAUCUUCUUCAUUCCGCCAUUGAUUCUUCAUGCAACUUCAUUGAUUUUUCUUCAGAUUCUUCCGUUUAAACGUUGAAUCUUCUAUGUUUCUUCUUGAAUCAAUUUGUAUUUUCUCUCUCUUGAUUUCUUGCUCUGUUCUUCGCCAUGCCUCGCCAUAAUAAUCAAACCGAUACUGAUUCGAUGUUUUAUGUACAUCCAAGUGAGGGUCCAAAUUCAGUUCUUGUUACACCGCUCUUGGAUGGAUCCAAUUACCUCGCAUGGAGUCGCUCCAUGAUUCGAGCUUUUGGCGCGAAGAACAAAUUGAAGUUUGUUGAUGGUUCCAUGGAAGUUCUUGAUGAGGAUGAUUUGAAUCGAAGCGCUUGGGAACGAUGUAAUCAUCUUAUUCAAUCAUGGAUUAUUAACUCUGUUUCACCACAAAUUGCUCAAACAUUGGUUUUUUAUGAAACCGCCAUUGAAGCUUGGCUUGACCAUAAGGAACGUUUCUCCAAAGCUGAUAGAAUACACAUAGCUACUCUUCGAUCCACAAUUAACAAUUUGAAGCAAGGUUCUAAAUCUGUUCUAGAUUAUUUUACUGAGAUGCGUACUCUAUGGGAGGAAUUGAAUUCUCACUGACCUAUGCCACAUUGCACUUGUCCUCAUCCAUGUCGUUGUGCUGCUAUGAGGGAAGCAUGUAAUUUCAGACUUGAAGAUCAAGUAAUUCAAUUUCUUACUGGAUUAAAUGAUCAAUUUGUUGUUAUUAAAACUCAUGUUUUGAUGAUGGAUCCUCUUCCAUCAAUCAAUAAAGUAUACUCUUUAGUGAUUCAGGAAGAAAGCAAUAAUCAAUCUAUAACUUCUUCAUUAACUGAAUCAGUUUCCAUUGUUAAUGCUUUUGAUCCACGUAACAAGUCUCAAGGGAGGGGCAGAGGAAUUUCUGCUGGUCCGAAACCUCCUAGACUUUGUAACUUUUGUGGAAGAAGCAAUCAUACAGUUGAAUAUUGUUAUGCCAAACACGGAUAUCCUAAUUUUCAGAAGCAGGCACCUUCUGUUAAUGCUUCAAGUAGCACUGAAACAAUUGAAGCACCACCAGGAAAUAACAUUGAUGGAAUUUCAUCCAACACUGGUAUUUCACAAGAGAAAUAUGAUCAACUUGUUAGUUUGCUUCAACAAGUAAAUUUGCUUCCUUCAUCAUCUGCACCUUCCACUAGUGCAAAUAAUAUCAUCUUAACCCCUCUGUCAGGUAUAUCAUCCAUAUUCUCUUGUUCCAUUUCCUCUAAAUCUGAUAUUUGGCUUUUAGAUUCAGGAGCCAAUGAACACAUUGUUUCCUCCACACACUGGUUCACUUCUUAUCACAAAAUUUUGCCUAAACCUGUGAAUUUGCCUAAUGGUACCUCUGUGUUAGUUCAAUAUGCUGGCACAAUUCAUUUUUCACCAAAAUUCUAUCUUGACAAUGUCUUGUUUUCUCCCUUGUUCAAUUUAAAUUUGAUAUCUAUCUCAAAAGUUUGCGAGUCUCUGAAUUGCCAUGCCAAUUUUCAAAAUAAGAAAUGUUUCUUACAGGAUCUUCAUUCCCAGAAGAUGAUUGGUUUGGGUGAUCAAUUUGAAGGUCUUUAUAGAUUAGAUUUACAUUUUUUCAAUUGUCCAAAAUGCAAUAAUGUUUCUGUUAACAACAUUGUUCCUAGUAACAAUUCUACUAUUCCUUCUUCUACCUUGUCGCACUUCAGAUUAGGUCAUGUCUCUCAUAAGAGAAGAGAUUGUCCCAUAUGUCUCAACUUUAUCCUAGUCUCACUUUUGUUUCUCAUGCUACUUGUGAUAUAUGUCAUUUUGCCAAACAAAAGAUAUUACCUUUUCCUUCUAGUUUGUCUGUUGCCACUAGUAAAUUUCAGCUUUUGCAUUUUGAUAUUUGGGGUCCUCUAUCCACUGCUUAUGUACAUAAUCAUAGAUAUUUUCUCACCAUUCUUGAUGAUUACAGUAGAUUUGUUUGGAUUGUUCUUUUAAAAUCAAAAUCUGAAGUUUCUCAACAUGUUAAAAACUUCAUUUGUCUCAUUGAAACUCAAUUUCAUAUCACCCCCAAAACCAUAAGAGCUGAUAAUGGACCUGAAUUUUUACUACAUUCCUUUUAUGCUUCCAAGGGCAUUAUACAUCAUAGGUCAUGUGUUGAAACACCACAACAGAAUGGUAGAGUUGAAAGAAAACAUCAACACAUUCUUAAUGUAGGUAGAGCUCUCCUUUAUCAAUCCAAACUUCCCUCUUGUUAUUGGUCCUAUGCUCUCCUACAUGCAACUUUUAUCAUCAAUAGAGUCACUUCCCCUAACCUUCCCAAUAAAUCUUCUUAUCAGUUACUUCAUGAAAAAUUACCUAACCUUGAAUCAUUCAAAGUUUUUGGUUCAUUGUGUUAUUCUACCACUAUUCAAGCACAAAGAACAAAAUUAUCUCCAAGAGCCAGAAAAUCUAUCUUUUUAGGUUAUUCUGUUGGUUUUAAAGGUUGUGUUCUCUUAGAUUUACACUCUAGAGAAAUUCAUGUUUCUAGACAUGUCACAUAUCAUGAACAUAUUUUACCAUACCCUUCAAACCCCUCCUCCAUCACCACCACUUGGGACUAUUUUUCCUCUGAUACUUGCACUGCAAGUAACCCUCUUCCUGUUACUCCACCUCAACCUCCCACAUCCAUUAUUGAUCCUGAACCUUCAUAUACCGAACCUUCAAGUAAAAAAUAAAAAAGAAACGUAACCCAGAAACGUAAAUCACACAGAGGGUGAAGACAACUAAGCGUUCAAAAAUACCUGAUUGAAGAGCAAAGGAAGCGAGAAAGCUGGCAGUUCGCUCAUGAACGGGUUUUGAAGGGUUUCGUGAGUUUGAUGAAGGGCGAGAGAGGGCAAUGGAUGAACCCGUUUGAAUUACUAGAGCCACACACAUAUUCAUAUCUUCACUCGGAUCCGUAUCAAGAAUUUGUUGUUGAUUCUGUUGUGAUUCAGAAGAAGAAGAAGAAGAUUGGGUGGAUUGAAUCUGGAAAAAAGAGAGAAGAUGAGUUCUGGAUUUGUGGGUGUGUGGUGGAGACUGAAAGAGUUGCAGAUAAGUGAGUGGAUAUUAUUUUAUUUUAUUUACAUGUGAUUAAAUUUUGGGGAUUAAGUGUGAGACGAAAAAGAGAGAAAAUAUUGAGUUUUUUUAGUAAAUGAGGAGAGGAAAAAAUGUGAGGGGGAAGUUUUUUGUUGAUUUAACUACAAAGAGGAAAUAUAAUUUUAUAAUAUUAAAAAACAUUCAAAAAAAAUUAUAAAAUUAAAUUUUUAUCAUCAAAAGUGAUAGAGUCGGAUAAGCCCAUUCUAAAUCUAUUCUAAAAAGUCAUAUUUGGGUCUACUUACAUGUAGCCUCGGCUAGGCCGACUCUACAAUUUUCAAAAAAUAAAGAAAAAUUGUAAAUCGAAGUAGAGUGAGUUUAGCCGACUCUAUGUGGACACUAUUAGCGUCGGUGUCGGGGCCGACGCUAAAAUUGGAGUCUAAAAUGCUAUUUUCUUGUAGUGAACAUCUCCUACACCACCUCCUUCACCACCUGUUAUCAGAAAAUCAUCCAGAACCUCACAUCCACCAUCCCACUUCCAAGACUAUGUUUGUAGUCACGUUUCUUCUGAUUUGUCUGUCAAAUAUCCUAUCUCUGAUUCAGUGUCUUACAAUGCUUUGUGUAACGCCCUAGUCGUUAAUUUAAUUAUUUUGGAGUUAUUUAGAGUCUUUUAAAUGAUUUUAAAUAAUAUUUGUGAUUUAUGUGGUGUGUCAUAUUUUAUUAUAUAGUUUGUUUUUAUAAUAAUAAUAAUAAUAAUAAUAAUAAUAAUAAUAAUAAUAAUAAUAAUAAUAAGUGGGAAUUUUAUAUUAUUUUGGAGUUUGGGGAGUUAAAUAAGAUUUAAUAGAAUUAAGGGGAGUUUAAUGAAAUAAAGAGAAGUUACAUUUGGGGAGUUAAGAAUAGAAAGAGUCAGAGAAACGUUUUACGUGAAACAAGUUUUGGGAGAGAAAACCAAGAACAAGGGAGAAGAGUCAAGGAACCGAUUUUGCUGUGCAUUUCUUUCUGCAAAUCUAAGGUAAGGGUGAGGUUUGCUUCAGUAGUAUAGAUAUUGAAUUCUGAUUUUGAGUUUAACAGGUUUUGGUUGAAAUUGAGAAUUUUAGGUUUAUGUUGAAUUAGUGGGUUUUGAGAGUAGAGGUUGUGGUUCUGAUGUUAGAAUUAGGUUCUGGUUGCAUAUAACACUUAAUUUAGCAUCUGUAAACUAAUUUGGGGAGUGAAUUUGAGGAAAAUGAGAUUUUUGGGAAAAACCUGCAUUCUACCCGUACAGAAGUUCAUCGCUCGCCUCGCGAGUAGCCUGUGCUCGCCUUAGCGAGUGAGCAACUUCAUAGCUUGCCUCACGAGCAAGCCAACUCGCCAUGGCGAGUACCUGUGAGAAAAACUGGAUUUUCAUAUUGUUGUUAUAAGGUGUAAAUUUGAUAGUUUUAAGUGCCUAGAUGAUUUUAGAGAGGUCUGGGAUAAUUUUCAGAUUAAAAAGAUGAAUAGGGAACUUAAAAAUGAAGAUUUAGUGAGAAAAAUGUCAAAACUCCCGAGAGCACCUGUUUUGAGUUCACCACGACGAGCAGACUUUUCUUUGUGCUCGCCAUAGCGAGUAGAAGUACUCGCGAGGCGAGUUGCCCAGUAUUUGAGUUGUUUGUUUUGUUUUGAUGAAUGUUGAUGGAUAUUGAUGUCUAAGCAUGACUAUUAUAAAUGGUGUAUUUUUCUGGAUGAUUGGAUUAAUUAUAAUGAUUUGUUGUUGACUUGGAUGUAUGCUUCUAUUUAAUUACGUCAUACAUGAUGUUGCAUUAAGGAGUGGUGAGUCAUAUAGAUACAUAUGCAUUUGUUGGAGUUGUAUGUAGAUAUACACAAGUGGAGUCAGUUGCAUAAGCACAAAAGCGGGAGGGCUCUGGCCCUGGAACGCCUUGUCGUUCAAAGCGGUGGAACACUUUGUUGUUCAAAGCGGUGUUUAGCGGUGAUGACUUAUGUCCUAAAAUGAAUGCUUUAAACAUUCUAUUAGCGGUGACGGCUCCGGCCCUGAAUACGGUACCACAUGCAUUGUAGAGGAGUCUUAGUGGAGUUAUGGAGUGUUGCAUGAGUCGAAGUUGUUGGUUUUAAUUACCGUUUGUUUUUGAUGUUGAAAAUGAUGAUAUUUAUAUAUGUUGAUGAAUUAUUAUUAUGAUAGGGUGUUAGAUUCAAUUGAUGCAUUCAUUAUCUAUAUUUAUUGUUGUGAAUCUCACCCCUUCUGCUUGAAAAUGUUGUCCUUCCUAUGGGUAACUUGCAGGUGAUCCUGAGUAGUAGGUGGUGGCUCAAGUGUCUAGGGCUCUGAUACGUGGGAUGAGAUUUUAAUGCUUACUUUCAUUCCUAUGUAUCAAAUUUUAGAAUUUGCUGAUGUAGCCCUAUUGUUGUUUGAAUUUAUUUUGAUGAGGCUUUUAUUCCAAGACUGUUUAGUGGAGAGUCAAACCUUUGAUGUUGUUGUUUUUAAUGAAAAUAUUCCGCUGCAUAAUUAAUGAUGUUUUGAAGGAUGUUUAAUUAAAUAAUUUUUAUAUUCUAUUUAAGAAAUUUUGAAUAUGUAGUGUGACAUGCCCGUUUGGGAUUUACUCUGAUGAAUAUUUAAUUAUUAUUUAAUUGCUUUUGGGUAACGGGGUGUUACACUUUGUCUCCAUCUCAUUGUGCUUUUUCCUUGUCCAUUGAUUCUCAUAUUGAGCCAACCACAUAUGAUGAAGCAAGCAAACAUACUUGUUGGCAGCAGGCUAUGCAAACUGAGCUUACAGCUCUUGAAAAUACUGGUACUUGGAAACUGGUGGGUUUACCAGCUGAUAUUAAACCAAUAGGAUGUCGGUGGAUAUACAAAAUUAAAUAUCAUGCAAAUGGCACCAUUGAAAGAUAUAAGGCAAGACUGGUUGCUAAGGGUUACAAUCAGAUUGAAGGCCUUGAUUAUGCUGACACCUAUUCACCUGUUGUUAAGCUUACUACAGUGAUAACUGUUAUUGCUUCAGCUUCAAUCAACAAUUGGCAUAUUCAUCAGCUUGAUGUGAAUAAUGCAUUCCUUCAUGGUGACCUACAGGAAGAUGUCUACAUGAUUGUGCCUCAAGGUGUUAAAAACUCCAAACCAAAUCAGGUCUGCAAGCUCAUGAAAUCUCUUUAUGGUCUUAAACAGGUAAGAAGAAAGUGGUAUGAAAAACUCACUUAACUUCUUGUUCAUCAUCAGUAUACACAAUCCAAUUUUGAUCAUUCAUUGUUCAUCAAACAAACUACUACUUCAUUUACAGUGCUUUUAGUGUAUGUUGAUGAUGUGAUAAUUGCUGGUACUUCUCUGCAUGAAUUUCAACACAUCAAAAAUAUUUUGCAUUCCUCUUUCAAGAUUAAGGACUUGGGCCAAUUGAAAUAAUUCCUUGGUUUAGAGGUUGCUCACUCUUCUCAAGGCAUUUCACUUUUUUAGAGAAAGUAUUGUCUGGAUCUUCUCACUGAUUCAGGUCAUCUAGCAUCCAAACCAGUUUCAACUCCCUCUGAGCCAUCAUGUAAACUGCAUCAAGAUUCUAGUGCCCCUUACUCUGAUGUUCCUUCUUAUAGAAGAAUGAUUGGUAGGCUGAUCUAUCUCACCAAUACCAGACCAGAUAUUACUUUUGCCACUCAGCAGCUCAGCCAGUUCCUUUCUUCUCCCACUGAGAAGCACUUUCAAGCAGCCACUAGAGUGCUAAGAUACUUGAAAAAGUGUCCUGGUCAAGGUCUCUUCUUUCCUAGAGAUUCUUCUAUAAUGAUUUCAGGCUUCUCAGAUGUUGAUUGGGCAGGGUGCCUUGAUUCUAGAAGAUUAAUAUCUGGUCAAUGUUUUUAUCUUGGUAAAUCUUUAAUUUCAUGGAGAACCAAGAAACAAUUAAUUGUUUCUAGAUCUUCUUCUGAAGUAGAAUAUAGAGCUUUGGGUGCCGCAACUUGUGAACUUCAAUGGCUCCUCUAUCUUCUUAAGGAUCUACAUGUCUCUCUAAUCAAACCUCCUAUGCUCUAUUGUGACAAUCAAAGUGCCAUACACAUAGCUGCAAACCCUGUAUUUAAUGAAAGGACUAAGCAUUUGAAAAUUGACUAUCAUCUGGUCAGAGAAAAGAUGCAAGCAGGAAUCAUAAAGCUUCUGCCAGUUUCAAUAAGCUGGUUUUGGAGAGUCGCGUUAUACGUAAGUUGUUUUGAUUCGUACACGUUCUUUUGUAAUGUUCACAUCAUCGAUUUCAGAAAUGCUGUUUUUUGAAUAAGUGUGUUUGUGGAAGAUGUUUUGCUUUAGGAAGCGUAUUUGGUCCAGAAGCACGUUUCAGUAGUUGCAAUUCUAAUACUCCAAGGAAGAAAAGUUUGUUACAUGUUAGUAAACAUGAUAUCCAAGGAAGGAAUGAAAGAAAACUCAAAUAAUGUUUUGUAUUGAUGAUAAAAGUGAACAUUACAAAUGAUGAAGUUAUCCCACUAAUGGGGUUAUUACAAGUAUAUAUACUACUACAAACUAGUAUCUAACAUAUAUCUCUAAUAGUCCCCCUCAAGUUGGAAGGUGUUCAAAACACUUCCAACAUGAAAUGAGAAAAUACAGGGAAACACUCAUGUUAGUAGAGUUAGUUAGAGUUAGUUACACAACUAAACUCUAUAUAUAGGAACACUCAUGUAUCAUUUCAUUAUCUUUUAUCAAAUCUAUUGAUUCUCCUAUGAGUCUCUAUGGUUAUCUCCCACAUGAAUACUACUAUGCUCUCUCUCUAGUUGAUAUCUAUCAUUUUUAUCCUUGGGAUUCCUUGAUCCAUAACAUGGUAUCAGAGCGAUACCCUAGGGAUGAAGAUGCUGAUGCUUCCGCUUGCGAUUCAGCUUCCGAUGAAGAUGAAGAUUUCGGUGACGAUGAAGUUCUCACAACUUCAGCAAACGUUCUAUAAAAUUCAGCUUCCUUCGAUGGCAUUGUUUUCGGUAGUUUCGAGUCUCCAAUUGUUCCGGAUUCUACUCCUUCAAUCGAACCAAAAUUCGAUGAAUUCUCCGUCAAAAUUUGAUGAAGAUUUCGAUGGUAUUCGUUGAUUCUUGCAAGAACAUCGUCGAUUGUGACGAUUCUGUGUUCGUUGCUUCCGAAGAAGACAGUUACGUGAAGGUUUUUGAACCUGAAUUGAAGAUUCAUUACUCUGAUUUCAUUGUUUUUGAAGCGUCGAAAGAAUUCGUCAUUCAAACAGCUUCGGUGAGAUUGAGGAGCACUGUUUACGACGUCGCCGCCGUGAGGCUUUGCAUCUCGUGGUUGCUCACCGGAAAACAGGCUGAACAACUUGCUUGUGAUGUCAACAAUCAGGUUCAGUUUUUCCAGUUCCAUGAUGAGUUCAUUGUUGAUUUUGAUCCUGGUGGAAGAGUUUUCUUGUCUUCGAUGUUUUCUGCUUUUAUUGUUCUCCGAUACCAUUCCUUCCGUUUGUGGUGGAUACCUUGGGAUAGAGGAAGGAAAACGGUUAUUCACGGUGGCACAUUUUUGACACAGGUUUUGUUCUUUCUCAUACUCGACACAACAAGAUUUGAGUCUUUUGGCGUUCGUCUCCUUCUUCCUCUCUACAUCGUGAUUUAGCUCUCUGAUCUGCGAUUCCUUGUUUGCGGCUUCGUAUUGUUCUCUAAUACUCUGGUAUCGCAAAUUCGCGUUUCAAUCAUCUCAGAUUCAUCAUUCCAGUUUAAAGAAGCUUUACAUAAACACGUUUUGGAAAAGUGCUUUUUAGAAGAACACAUUUGGUAUGAGUUGAUUUGUUUCCGUUAAGACUUGCGUUUGGACAAUCACAGAGUCACAGAAGUGGGUUUCAUAAUUUCGUUUCUAGAAAAGCUGCUUUUUGGAAAAGUGCCUUUGGCAUAAGUUCUUUUUCAUUCAAAAGCACGUUUGCCAUUUUUUUUGAAGAGGAGAAUAGCUUCAGCAUCUUUUCUCAGUUGCGUUUAUGAGUUCUCAACAUCUGCUUUGGGCUUGGACUUCAUCUUCGGUCUAUUGAGCUUUACAUAUUUUUCUAUCAUUUUUUGUUUUGCUAGUAUACCCCCAUAUUACUUAGCUUACAAUAUAGUAAAUAAGCUGUAUUUUUCAUUGUAUUUCAAACUCAAAUUGGUGAAUUUCCCCAUUUUAAAUUUGAGGGGGACUAUUAGAGUAUGAAUAAUCAACUAUGAUUAGUUGAUAGGUAAACUACAGUUAGUAGCUUGGUUAAGAGUUAGUUACACAACUAAACUCUAUAUAUAGGAAAACUCAUGUAUCAUUAUUUCAUUGGGAUUCCUUGAUCCAUAACAUGUAUGGUUCUUAGAGAUGGUGGUCGGAUCCUUUGCUUUGUUUGCGUAUCAAUCGACCUUUGUUUCUGUAAUUAUUUUGAUUGACUGAUUAUUUCUUGGGGUGGUUUCUUUAGUACAGCUUGUGCUAAGCAGGUUUCAUUGCCUUUGUUAAUAUAUUACAUUUUUUAUCCUUAAAAAAAAAUGGCAAUUUCAGGUUUGAAUCUCUGCGACAAUUAACUGCCGAAGUUCCGCGAUAGUUCCGCGGCAGUUGAUUGCCGCCGUUUAAUUUCUGCGGCAGUUAACUGCCAAGGGGGUAUUUCGAUAUUUUUACUGGUGUUUUUCAGCCUUAUACUAUGUGUGAACAACAUUUUUCUUGUUUGUUAUACAUAGUGCUGGCCCAACACAUUUUGAGGCCUAAAACAGGCUAGGCAUAAUAUGAGAGAAAUUAAUAUAAAUUCAUAUCUAUUUCUUCAAAAGAAAAAAUAUAAACUCAUAUGUUUUAUAAAAAAAAAAAAUACAAUUAAAAAGAAAAAUAAAUAUGGCAUUAUAUAAGUGGAAGUGCUCUAAGUACGGUUCAUCCGACAGAAAAACAGUGCGUAUUGUAAAGCUCUAUUAGGAGGUGUUGAACCUAUGUUAUAAUCAUCAUAAAGCGUGUGUCUAUCAUCUUUAAUUUGUUUUAUGACAAAGUUGUAUAAUUAAUUUGUUAUGUAGCUUUUACUGUGAGACCUUCAUUCUUAGUCCGAAAUUCGAUGGCCUAUAGCGAGUGUUUGGGUCGCCUUACCCUUAAGCAAGCUGUGGUUAUAGAGAAGUAAAUAGUAGAGUCUACAUACUUUGAAUUUGAAUGUAUGAUUACUUAUUUGUAAAUUAGUCCAUUUGAAUCAUAUUUAUUUUUGUUGCGCCGUAUUAAUUUUGAAUGACAAUACAACCAACUAUGGGGCAUUCAAAGAAAUAAAUGUAAUGUGCAGUCGGCAAUUAAAAAAUGGAAAAAAACUCAGAACUAAACAUAUUUUUACUAUUUUCUGUCUCAACGAGACCCGCGAGACUAACGAGGAAGUGUGGUGAUUGGUUACUGCACCUCUCAUUUCUUCUUAUAUAUAUAUCCCAAUAAAAACUUGCCACUACAUCUAUCCUUAACUAAUUUAUCAAAACCUUCCCAUGGCUUCAAUUGUUAAUCAUGAGAAUGAGAACAAGAAUGUCAAGUCCCUUCAUGUUGUAAUGGUACCAUGGCUAGCUAUGGGACACAUACUACCUUUUUUCGAGUUAGCCAAAAUUCUUGCUCAAAAUGGUCACACUGUCACGUUCAUAAACUCCCCUAAAAACAUUGAUCAAAUGCCCAAAACACCCAAAACACUUCAACCAUUCAUCAAGUUGGUAAAAUCACCUUUACCAUACAUAGAAGAACUACAAGGUGCAGAAAGCACUCAAAAUGUUCCGUUAAACCUAACUGGUUACCUUAAGUUAGCUUAUGAUGGUUUCCAAGACCGUGUUACCGAGAUACUCAAAACUUCGAAGCCUGAUUGGGUUUUCUGUGAUGUAGUAUCGGAUUGGUUACC
RNAcentral lists this long non-coding RNA (34067 nucleotides) under Medicago truncatula (barrel medic). RNAcentral's name for it is "long non-coding RNA (MTRU_LNC004069)". The stretch from base 28857 to 28945 matches the Rfam family "MIR2617 microRNA precursor family". The record is from RNAcentral. Lineage: Eukaryota; Viridiplantae; Streptophyta; Magnoliopsida; Fabales; Fabaceae.